Molecule: transfer RNA, 87 nt
Filed under: Candidatus Brennerbacteria bacterium RIFOXYB1_FULL_41_13
Lineage: Bacteria; Candidatus Brenneribacteriota
Also listed under: 2 other names
Description: tRNA-Leu
Rfam family: tRNA
About the family: Transfer RNA (tRNA) molecules are approximately 80 nucleotides in length.
Source: RNAcentral
GCGCGGGUGGCGUAACCGGUAGCCGCGUCACCUUGAGGUGGUGAUGUCCGCAAGGACGUGGAGGUUCAACUCCUCUCCCGCGCACCA